GGAGUGGAUUAGCAUGCUAGACAGAGGGCAGUUCGGCUGCCCUGCGAAAAGCUCAGUAACACGUGGUCAAUCUACCCUUAGGAUUGAGACACCCCGGGAAACUGGGGAUAAUCUCGAAUAGGCGGGGGUUCUGGAAUGUCCCUCGCUGAAAUGUUUUGGCGCCUAAGGAUGAGACUGCGGCCUAUUAGGUAGUUGGUGAGGUAAAGGCUCACCAAGCCACAGAUGAGUACGGGCCCUGAGAGGGGGAGCCCGGAGAUGGGGACUGAGACAAGGCCCCAGGCCCUACGGGGCGCAGCAGGUGCGGAAAUUCUGCAAUGCGUGGAAGCGCGACAGAGUGACUCCCAGUGCCGAUGGUCUACCGACCGUCGGCUUUUCUGGAAUGUAAAUAGUUUUAGGUAAUAAGGGCCGGGUAAGACUGGUGCCAGCCGCCGCGGUAACACCAGCGGCCCGAGUGGUAGCCGAUUUUAUUGGGCUUAAAGUGUCCGUAGCCGGGUUGUCAAGUUCUUUGUGAAAUCGAGCGGCUUAACCGCUCGGCUUGCAAGGAAAACUGAUGACCUUGGGACCGGUAGGCGCUGAGGGUACUCCAGGGGUAGCGGUGAAAUGCUAUAAUCCCUGGGGGACCGCCAGUGGCGAAAGCGCUCUGCGAUGCCGGAUCCGACGGUGAGGGACGAAAGCCAGGGGAGCAAACCGGAUUAGAUACCCGGGUAGUCCUGGCCGCAAAGGAUGUGGGCUAGGUGCUUGGCGUUCCUCGAGAACGUUAGGUGCCGAAGGAAAACCGUUAAGCUCACCGCCUGGGAAGUAUGGCCGCAAGGCUUAAACUUAAAGAAAUUGGCGGGGGAGCACCACAAGGGGUGGAGCCUGCGGUUUAAUUGGAUUUCACGCCGGACAUCUCACCGGGGGCGACGGCAGAAUGAAGGCCAAGUUGACGACUUUGCCGGGACCCGCCGAGAGUGGUGCAUGG
RNAcentral lists this ribosomal RNA (961 nucleotides) under uncultured archaeon. RNAcentral's name for it is "bacterial SSU rRNA". It matches the Rfam family "Archaeal small subunit ribosomal RNA", at positions 35 to 997 of the family's 1478-position model. The record is from RNAcentral.